RNAcentral lists this ribosomal RNA (447 nucleotides) under uncultured bacterium. RNAcentral describes it as "partial 16S ribosomal RNA". It matches the Rfam family "Bacterial small subunit ribosomal RNA", at positions 29 to 523 of the family's 1533-position model. The record is from RNAcentral.
AACGAACGCUGGCGGCAGGCUUAACACAUGCGAGUCGAGCGCCCCGCAAGGGGAGCGGCAGACGGGUGAGUAACGCGUGGGAAUCUACCCAUCCCUACGGAAUAGCUCCGGGAAACUGGAAUUAAUACCGUAUACGCCCUACGGGGGAAAGAUUUAUCGGGGAUGGAUGAGCCCGCGUUGGAUUAGCUAGUUGGUGGGGUAAAGGCCUACCAAGGUGACGAUCCAUAGCUGGUCUGAGAGGAUGAUCAGCCACAUUGGGACUGAGACACGGCCCAAACUCCUACGGGAGGCAGCAGUGGGGAAUAUUGGACAAUGGGGGCAACCUUGAUCCAGCCAUGCCGCGUGAGUGAUGAAGGCCUUAGGGUUGUAAAGCUCUUUCACCGGGGAAGAUAAUGACGGUACCCGGAGAAGAAGCCCCGGCUAACUUCGUGCCAGCCGCCGCGGUAA